UGUGGCUCAGUGGUGGAGCACUUGCCUGGGAUACAUGAGAUCCUAGGUUCUAACUCUAGCA
Molecule: transfer RNA, 61 nt
Filed under: Ictidomys tridecemlineatus (thirteen-lined ground squirrel)
Lineage: Eukaryota; Metazoa; Chordata; Mammalia; Rodentia; Sciuridae
Description: Spermophilus tridecemlineatus (thirteen-lined ground squirrel) tRNA
Rfam family: tRNA
About the family: Transfer RNA (tRNA) molecules are approximately 80 nucleotides in length. Their secondary structure includes four short double-helical elements and three loops (D, anti-codon, and T loops). Further hydrogen bonds mediate the characteristic L-shaped molecular structure. tRNAs have two regions of fundamental functional importance: the anti-codon, which is responsible for specific mRNA codon recognition, and the 3' end, to which the tRNAs corresponding amino acid is attached (by aminoacyl-tRNA synthetases). tRNAs cope with the degeneracy of the genetic code in two manners: having more than one tRNA (with a specific anti-codon) for a particular amino acid; and 'wobble' base-pairing, i.e. permitting non-standard base-pairing at the 3rd anti-codon position.
Source: Rfam by way of RNAcentral